CAUUUGGGGCUGAGCCGCGGGGUCUGCGGGCUCCGAGGCCUUAUAUAGUCCACCUCCGGUUUCCAUUAUUCAACUCGAUUUAAUUGUUCGGAAGGAAUUCUUGAAACGAUUCUCGUAAGAGGGAUUUGCAAGACAAGAGAUGAGUCCGGUUGGCUUUUUCUCUUGUUUUGUCCCCCCACGAGAGUUAGGAAGGCAGUGGGGAGGUGUGUAGCGCUCGGUCUCAUUCAUUGAGAGGCUGUGUCGGUGGUCUGAGCGCCCCGUCCUGUUCGCUGCUGGGCGGCCUUCGGGGCAGGGCCUCGUGUUCUUUGUGCUGGGCGGCUCGGCGGACCCAGCCCUGUGCCCGAGGCCCGGAGGUGUUUCCGUGCCGGUAUCAGCAAGUACAUGCCUAUAAUCCCCAGAAACGCUUCCUUGCAAGGAGUGGAUCUCAGGUUUGGUUUGCGGUCCUUAGUUUAAGGGUAUUUGAUAAGGGUUGAAAAAAGCACUGGCUGAGGCUCGUCUGUAGAGAGCUGAAAAUGGUGUUGCACGUUGUUUUCGUUGUACAGAUAUGUGAAAGAUAAAUGCUAAAGUCUUUCUUUGGGACUUCUGAACUUGUUUUCCAUCAUAACCAUAGAUGUUGGAGUUGUGUUGCGUGUGCAUAUGGUGGGGAGGGCUAGCUACUAUAUCAGUAGCGUGGCCGUGAUUUGCUGAAAUUGGGAAUCAUUUUCAGUUUACCCAAUGAUUUACUGAAUAAGCAGGCAUUUGCAUUUUGUAUUGAUAUCUCACUAAUUUGUUCUUUAGCUGUAUUGUUGUAAUUGGGCACAAUCAAAACUCAAAAUUCUGAUCUUGGCAAGAGGGGAGUUCCACUGAGAGAUUAGGAGACAUAUGUGUCAUCAGCCUCAGUAAGCUCUACUCUGCAAUUUAAAUGAGACUUUAGUCAUUGCAGCUGCUGAAGUUACUCACAUAUUAAGCUUUUGGAGACUCAAGGUAGAUAGUACUUUGACCUGUGCUAUAGCUGAGCUGGUUGUCAGUUUCUUUCAUAAGCUGAGAAGACCUGGGUCAUUGUUUCUCAUGCUGCUUCAUGGGAGAGCCUGCAGAAGGGGAGGGGGAGAAAAGCUGUUGGAGGAGGUACUUGGAGUUUGCGUAAUCCCAGUGUUGUGACUGAGAGAUGCUUGAUAGAGCAUCCUUCCUAUCAUUACCUGCGUGGGCAGUGCCAUCUUCUUCAUAUGCUACCCUCGCUCUUGUGAAAUGUAAAGCAUUUCCCAUUCCAAUAGGAGUUAAUGGGUUCUUCUCUCUUCCUCUAAAUACGUUGAUAGGAAUAGACUUCUUGAAAAUGUACAUUCUUCCUAUUGUAGUGACCUGGUAGAAAUUUCUCAUCCAGUGACAGGAUGGAAGAAAGUAGUUUUUUUCUUUUUGAUCGUGGCAUUGCUUCAUAGACUGAGAUGCUGUGUUGUUUCAUAAAGGUUUCAUGAAUAACUAGUGUGCUUUUCAAGCCUUGUAGAAUCAAACCUGUCAUCUGUUGAAGAGAUAAGUUUGCAGAAAAUAAUAUACUUUUUUUAAUUUAUUUUUUAUUUUUUUUGCUAGGGAGCUUUAAGAGCUUUUGGCAAACUUUCUUUGUGAGAGUGAGUACUUUGAAACAUAAAACUAGAUUGUUCUUCAUCCUGUGGCACGUUCCUCCCUCUUACUGUGAUCUCUGGUUGGAAACACUGGAAGAAAUAAGUUGGUCAGAUGUGACCUCGAGUUUAUAAAAUGACUGUAAAUUUAGGACUGAGGGAUCAGGCUGAUCUUUUCUGAACUGUUGCAGGCGGAAUGCUGAAUGAUGUUGCUGUUGGUGCUUUUACAGGAAAUAGAACAAAAAUUCCAGUGAUUCAGAACUGGAUUUUUUUAAAGCUAUACUCAAAACUCAAAUAUUUAAAUGAUUGAACUGAAAGUUAACUUUUUUUUUUCCACUAAUGUGUACAGUGAUUCAGGUUUUGCAUUUUUUUCUCUUCAGUUGCAUAGUAGAUUAUCUCCACUGGAAAAGUGUAUACUUUGUAGUUCAAACAGGACAAAUAAUGGUGACUGCUCCAAAACGUCUUGAAUGCUGAUUAGCAAACCAAUCCUGAUGGGAUUCUCCAUACUUGAAGUCAACUGUGAGUGAGAAAGCUGUUGGAUUCACAGUUGGAUUAAAUUUUUUAUUAAACUCAUAAUUGCAGCUGGAGGUUUCAUUAUAACAGUUGCUUCAGUUUCUCCCUCUCUUAAUUAUGCUUACCAGAAAAAUCACUGUGAUUGGUUAAUGCUGUCUCUAACAAAAAUUUUUGUAGACUUUUUUGUUAGAAUUGUGGUAGAAUGACUGACUUACUGUUGCUGAAUUGAUCAGCGAGCUCAAAGUAUUCUGAACAGUAUACAGAUGUGUAGAGUUCCUUUUAGCUUCGUGUUGUGCUGCCUUUGGAUUUUGGUGUUUCUCAAUUAGUCUGGUGAAUCCGAAUGAAGUAGCUGGACGUGAUUGAAGUUGAGAGUUCUGUGUUGUGUCUGCAUGGGAUCUGGUUAUUCUUGGAAGGCAUCUGUUGUAGAAUGAAAAGAUCUAAGGAGGAGCAGUUAAGAGCUUCCAGUUUUCACAAAACCUGUGAAGGCCUUUUUUAAUCUUUGAGACUUUUACACCUCCCUUAAAUUGUCUUUGAAAUGGUCAGCUGAUGCAAAUCGUUAUUAAAAGGACAACUAGAACAUGUAAAAACAAUUUCUUUUAAGAAAACUUGCUUAGUUGUACAUAGUAGGAAACAAAAUCCUGGCAACUUGAGAACUCAGCAUCAACUGAUGCCACAUGGAGAAGAUGUUGAGAUGCAUCUGUUUUUUGCGAAACUUUUCAAAGAAGAGGAGUUGCUGUUGAAGGGAUUGGACUUGAGUUUUGUGCAGGUGCUUCUGCAUGCUUACUCCAAACCUCUUCAUUUUUCACAUCUUCUCACACUGUCUUUGAUGCAUGGACUACAUUGGAAGCAAUAAAAACCGCUGGAGAACUAUAGUGAUGCUGAGGGCUACAUAAAAAUUGAAUGGAAGAAUGUUUUGGACAAUGCUCAAAAACAAUAGAAGUGUUGCUCCAGACAAGUUGUUGACAUGUUUCUAAAUAUAUAUUUGUGUAAUGUAUUAUAAGCCAUCUUUGAUUUAUUUUUCUAAAGACACAAAUCUCAAGCAAUUGUGUUUCCUUUAAUCCUGUGCCUUAAUAAAUUUUAAGUUCAUCAGCUAAUUUCAGCAAAGUAGCCACAGGGCAAGGUCUUGGGGAUUUUACAUUUUAAUAAUAUUUAACAGGAAUAUUCAGGUUAUUGAAUAGAAGGUCUCUUCAGAAGAAAGUUUUGCAUGGAUUUAGCACUUACCCGUAUUUAACCUGCCAGUUGGCAAACAAACAGCUUUCUCUGGGUUAAAAGCUAGAUACGAUGUGCUGUACUCCUUUCUUUCAGUCCCCAGUUAGAGGACGUGAGAGGUUAAGUGCACUGUGGCUGGUGCAUGGAAGAGAGGGGGUAAGAUAAUAGGCAGCUGGGAUAGAGGUGGAGUGCGAUCAUUUGGAGCAUGGCAGCAUGGCUGCCUGCAGAUCUGUGGGAAAUGGGGCAGUGACCUGCUGUCCGUGGGAUGGUUCCUCGAACAAGAGGGCUAGCAGCAUCUGCCAGUUUUGGUUUACUGAACAAAAAUCGUGUUGUGUUAGGUGUCUUAAGAGGAUGAAAGCUGAAGGAGAGGGGAAGUGAUAGGUGAGGUAGCUAGGCAGACAGCUGGGCUGCUGAGCUCGUGUUGCAGCAGUGGCACACUCUUAACUGCAGUGUUUAAAAAAAACUCUGAGUGUGAGGUGGCUGUUAGGUGUGUGUUAGAUGUUACUUCCACUCUUGAAACCUCUUCUGUGCCUUUCUGUUUGUAUGGCCCUGGCACAACUCCUGACUGUGCUUACACCUGUCCUGGCAUGCUGCGUGGAGCAGCAUGGGGCAAGAAUGCGUGCCAGUGAGGGAGUGGUUGCGUGAACUGCACAAGGAAUACAUGUUAUUCUCAACAUGCUUUAUAUUGAAAGCGUUGUUUCGUUGUUACAUCUCAGUUUAUAGUGGAAAUGACUUAGAUGUUUGAUGUUAAUAGUUUAAUUCGUUCGUACCUGUGUGGGCUCUUGCAUGCUGUGGUAUAUUUAAUGUAUUCCUAAGUGUAAUAGAUGCAUCUGUGAAGUAGUAUCAAAUUAUUUUAAUAACUCUAAAGUAACCUAUUUUUUAUUACACUUCCGAGUGAACAUUUUACAUAGCUCAUUGAAUCUUGAACCAAGUAUUUGUAUUUUGUAGAUAAUGCUAAAAGAAAUAGAUGAGAACACACUGGCAGGCUGAUAAAAUACCCAAUUAACAGUAAACUUUUCAAUUCUGUUUGCUGCAGCAUAUGUUCUGUUGGAUAAGAAGAUGCUUUGCCUUUUUCAUAGGUGGCUUUUGCGAAUAUUGAGCAUAAAUAUGUGGUUAAGGAGUGAUUAUUAGAAAAAUUCCUCAUGGCUGUUAAACUUAGGGCUUUAGAACGCUUUUUUUUCCCCCCCCCAAAGAAAAAUUACAGUUUUUGCUUUUUAAAAAUAAAGAAAACUCACUGUUGUUUGCUGAUCACUAUGUUUUACUUUUUCAGUAGUGCAUGGUUUCAGCACCUAACCACUCCUCGAGGUAUUUGUACCUGGUUUUGAUCAGAUGCUUCAGAAGCUAUGAGUAACAAGUGCAUCCUGAGAAAUCAUCUAUUUUGCUGAAGCUAUUUAGGAAAAAAAAAAAAAAAAAAAAAAAUGGCUUUGUACUUUAUACUGAAGGUUAGAAAUACAGGAAAGACUUUUCCCAUGUUUGUCCUGAGUGUGAUUUCCCCAAGUGGAAAAAAUUAUGAACAGUUUCACCUUCAGAGGAAAAAGUCCCACACACUUCAAAGAAAUGAAGUUAUGUAAUACAGCA
This is a long non-coding RNA of Centrocercus urophasianus (Greater sage-grouse), 4889 nucleotides long. RefSeq lists it as uncharacterized. Lineage: Eukaryota; Metazoa; Chordata; Aves; Galliformes; Phasianidae. The transcript is spliced from 2 exons. The record is from RefSeq and is a predicted model, not a curated record.